Molecule: small RNA, 2200 nt
Filed under: Pongo abelii (Sumatran orangutan)
Lineage: Eukaryota; Metazoa; Chordata; Mammalia; Primates; Hominidae
Description: retained intron
Source: RNAcentral
CUAUGGAGCCAGGCUGUACUGCCUGAAGAUCCAUGGCCUAUCCUCACUCUGGCGUCUGUUCCGGGGGAAGAAGUGGAAUGUUCUGCGCCAGCGCGUGGACUCCUGUUCCUAUGACCUGGACCAGCUGUUCAUCGGGACUCUGCUCUUCACCAUCCUGCUCUUCCUCCUGCCUACCACAGCCCUGUACUACCUGGUGUUCACCCUGGUGAGCUGAGCACCCACAGCCUGGGCCUGGCUGCAGUGCUCUCUGUGGCUUCUGCCAGCGCUGCCUGGGAGCAGUCAGCUGUGGGGCGGGCUGUCUCCUGCUGCAGGCCACGUGGGUGGCCUUUCAGGACACUCUGGGCAGUGAGUGCUGGGCCCUGGAGUGGGCGAGGCCCUAGCCUGGCCGGGAAGACCCCUUCACUGCCCUGGAGCACGCAGCUGGGUGCUUGGUGGGAGGACCCACGGCAGGUGGGGUCACACAAGAGGCCUCCCCUGGUGCCUGGCUCUGGGGCAGACAGUGGGAGGUGAGCAGAAUCACCUCCAGCACCUGCUUGAUUCCCAGGCCUCGAUCCCCUCUGCAUGUGAGGCUAUGGGGAGGCACCUCUCACCUGGUGGGAGGGCCAACUGCUCCGCCUUCAGCUUUGCUCCAGGGCAAGGCCCAAUGGCAGGCUCCGUGCCCUGCUCAGGGUGGGGUCCCUGCUCUCCCCAGGACCCUGCAGCCUCUGGGCUCCCUUCAUCGUGGCCCAGGAUGGGGUCGGGCUGCUCUGCCCCCAGGCACGUCUGGCCAGGCCGGUCCUAAAUGCUCUUCUGCCACAGCUCCGGCUCCUGGUGGUCACCGUGCAGGGCCUGAUCCAUCUGCUUGUGGACCUCAUCAACUCCCUGCCGCUGUACUCACUGGGUCUUCGGCUCUGUCGGCCCUACAGGCUGGCGGCUGGUGUGAAGUUCCGUGUCCUCCAGCACGAGGCCGGCAGGCCCCUCCGCCUCUUGAUGCAGAUAAACCCACUGCCCUACAGCCGCGUGGUGCACACCUACCGCCUCCCCAGCUGUGGCUGCCACCCCAAGCACUCCUGGGGCGCCCUGUGCCGCAAGCUGUUCUUUGGGGAGCUCAUCUACCCCUGGAGGCAGAGAGGGGACAAGCAGGACUGAGGGAGCCGCCGGCUCACCCCGCACCACCACGGCCAGCCAUGUGCUCUGCCAGGGUGGCACCAGCUCAGCUGGCGCGUGUCCCGUGCUUUGUGGACGCUGCUGUGUGCUCCUGAACACGGCAGGCCCUGCUAUCACACCUUGGGCUUGGAGGUCAUUGGGGGUGAGCAGAUGUGAAGGUGGCCAGCCAGGCUGGCCGUGCUCCGUCACUGGCACUGCCUGCCUUGGGACCCGCUUCCCACAUGCUGCCGUCACCACGGUGGCGAGCACAGCAGCCCCAGGUGUCCAGAGCACUGCCCCAUGCCCACCCUGCGUACCCGGGUCCAGAGGGCCUGUCCACCACAGUAGCCCCAGGUGGAGGGCUGGUCUCCCUGGGAGCUCCCCGGUGGCUCUGCCCUGGCUGUGGGGGUGGAGGGACCUUCCCAGGAUGAACCCCCCAGUCCCAGGCACCCUCCAGCUCCCUCAGCCGAACAGCACCUGCAUCUGGGGGAUUGAAGCAGUCGCUGACCCCCGUCCCAGCCCCAGCCGGCCCAGGCCCUGACUCCCUGAACCACACGGGGUUUAUUUGCCGAUGUUCCCUGGAAAGGUCGCUUUGUGAAGGAGCCAUCAGCAGUCUGUGGGCAUCGCCAGGCUGCUGUGGGGGCGGGAGCAGCCUCAGUGUCAAGGGCCCACCCACUGACCCAGCCAUACCUAUUCGUGCACGGCGCCCCUGUAGCAGCAGGCCCUGGGGCCAAACCUGUCUCCCUUCAUGGGCCUCCCAGGGAAGGAGGAAGCCCUGCUGUGCGGACACCUCUGUGGCCCCCCCCAGGGGUGUGAGCAGCCUGGGGAGGGGGCCGUGGUACUGAGGCCGAAAGCGCCUGCCAGAUGGCACAGUCUGGGUGCGGGUGUUCCCUGUGAGCCCGGGUCCCCUUCGGGAGGGGAGCCUGCAGGUGCCAGCUGGUGAGGGGAUGACGUGCUGUGGGUGGGAGGAAGCAGUGCCCAUCUCAGCAGCACCAGGACUGCCUGGGACUCCCUGGUGACCCAGCACCGGGGAAGCCGUCAGCUGCUAUGACAAUAAAACCUGCCCCGUGUUUGG